CCCCGCAGCGGGCUCCCGGCUCGGGCCCGCGUUCCGCAUCCCCCGUGGAGGCAGUUCUCCCGUGGGGUUUUAAUCCUUCACCCCCGGCAUUUGGAGGGAGAAAUGGUUUGCAUAUUUUUCCCAAUAAGGCGCACGCCGCAAAGACUUUCCCACUGCGGACGCGAUCGCUCCUACGGUUAUUUUUACGCCGCUGCCUCCCCAGAAAAACGAGUGCGGUGCCCGGGCAGGCCGGGCCGGAGCCAUGCGGGACACGCAGGGUCACCCGCGGCUUCUCUAGCGCCCGCUCCUCUCGGCGGUCCCGUACGCUCCCGGCAGUCCCAGCCCCAAACGCUCCCCGGCCGCUGACAUCGAAAACCGGCGGGGGUUCCCCUUUCGCUCUUGGACGGCCAGACCCUGUUGGUGAGGGACUCCCGGGGACGCGUCCCGGGUGGGUCCCAGGCGGGCGGGAGCGCAGGGCCCCGCAGGUCCGGCCCAGCUCCCCACGUCCGUCGGGCCGCCUCCGCCCGGGCAGCCGGCACUGGGCAUUUCUGGUCUACUGGAAGAUAACUUAGGAUCCUCCUAGUUAUUUAACUUGGCAGCUGCUUAAACUCCACAGUGGAAGCUGCCGAAAGUUAUUAGCGUUAUGCUUCAAUCUCCCCGAAAUGGUGGCUUUUAUUUCUAUGCUGCUUUGCUUUCUAUAGGUAUUUUUCUAAAUACUUUUUUCCCAAUUUUUUUUUCCUUAUAAUUUUUUAAUAGAAGGUGAUGGACUGCCGGGUGAGCCACCAGCCCAGGCACUUAGGAUCGGGCUGUCUUUGUAAGCCAGGGUGGGGGAGCAGCUUUUUCUGUGGCUUUGCAGCUUUUUCAAAGGUGCGCUGGAGAGGCCCACGGCUGGGCUGGGAGGAGGGCUGGGCUGCGGAGCUGCCCGGCCCUGGCCCCACCGUGCUGGAUUUGGGUCUGUCUCCAUACAAGGCAGUAAUUACGACCUGAAAGGGUCAGCCCAGGGAUGCUCCCAAGGUGUUUGGUCGCAGGUCGGUUUGCAAUGGUCAGAGACAGACACUGUUUGAACAAAUUAAUGAGCGACGAACAGAGAAGUCAGGGUAGCAAAGUUUGGGGCAGGGAUGAAGCGAGGGUUGUUACCCACGUGAAUCUUUCCCGUUAUUCCUUAAACCGCAAUACUUUGUACAACGGGAGCAGUACCCCUGCAGUACUGUGUGCCUUAGUUCCCAUGGGCAGUCCAUCCUAUCCUGCAGGGCCCAUAGCAUCGGUAGGGUGACCCUGCUGCCCUGUCACCCAACGGAGACUGCCACACUGGGGCAGGGGUAGUGCCUGGCAAGGCCACCUUGGAUGGAGCAGAGGCUUUGAGACCCUCCAGAAUAUUUUUUGCAUCCCUUUUAUUGAGUUAUGUACGUUCCUGCCUAUCUCUAGGCAGAUAAUUUUAUUUUGUAUUUUCGGAUUUUUUUUUUUUUUAAUUAGGGACCUAAGUUUUUGGACCACUGUACAGAUCCCAGAGGACCUGUAGUUAGUAGGGAUUUUGGAAGCAAACUGGCUCAGAGUCCUUGCAUGGCUGUGCUGGUCUACUCUGUCAGUGAUGGCAGGAGUAGAAAACAUCGAUGUUUUCAACCUGAAUUCAGUUUUAAAAGCUGGUAUCUGACCUGCUUCUAAAGCUGUUUGAAAUCUAGUCCCACUGCAGAGCAACUGGCAGGGCACUGUGGCAGGAGCUGCACAGAGUGCCUCGAUGACAAUCAAAUGGGCUUAUGUAAUUCUAAAAAUGGCAACUCCUUACUUGCCACAUCUCUUUCUGUCUAUGCGGAGAGUCCUGCAGAGCUGCCAAACAGAAGCAAUUGAAUGAACUCUUUUCCCGGCUCAUUCCUUCUUCCGCAGCUCAGAGAAAGUGAGCCAGAGCUUAUUCUAGUUUGCCUGUCAACAGGAAUGGUAACUAACGGUUCGAUCCCAGCCAGGCUUUAUGCCCCAAAAACGCUGCCUGCCUGCCUGCCUGUGAGGAGCGGAGAGAGACAUCAUGAGGGAAAUCUAGUUCCUGGUGUGAGACUGGUCUAGCCCAGGAGGCAGGCGAGGAGUCGGUGGAAUCCACACCAUAUCCAAAGCCAACCUGGCCAAUAAGGCAAGGAAGAAACUGUUGAAAGGGUGUCCCCAUCUGCUGCAGAGCUGGACUCCAAGUGGAGUGGUAUGGAGGUGGCAGCGGAUGGCAGCAUGUUGUCCCCUUCCUCUGGGGUGUGUGGGACUGGCUGGACUGCAGCGUUCCUGUCCCUCAUGGUAGCUAAGUCAGAGAGAGCCUGGCAAGACUCCCAGAUUGACGAGUGAAAGUGCUGCUGUGCUGCUUGGGCACAAGAAAAGGGCUGAUUUAAUUCCAGAAGACAUGAUCUAGAAGAACCACAAAACAUCCCCUCAACAAUGAGAACCCAAACUAAAAAUCCAGACCUCGUUACUGGAGGAAAAAACUUCAAUGCACAACCCAAGUAUUUCCUGAAUGUUCAAGAAUACCCAGAACUUAUGUAAAAAUAAAUGAUAAUUUAUUGAUUUGAUUUAA
Molecule: long non-coding RNA, 2524 nt
Organism: Corvus hawaiiensis (hawaiian crow)
Lineage: Eukaryota; Metazoa; Chordata; Aves; Passeriformes; Corvidae
Exons: 2
Source: RefSeq, a predicted model, not a curated record